Molecule: microRNA precursor, 78 nt
Filed under: Schistosoma mansoni
Lineage: Eukaryota; Metazoa; Platyhelminthes; Trematoda; Strigeidida; Schistosomatidae
Description: mir-3492 microRNA precursor family
Rfam family: mir-3492 microRNA precursor family
Source: Rfam by way of RNAcentral
AGCAUUCUGAAUCUGUGCCAAAAUUUUGUCAGACACUAAACCGUCAGGACUGGUGAAACUUUCAAGAUAAGUGAAGCA